AAAACCCAGCUUCUGAAACGAACGCCCUUUUCCUUCCAUCCCCACAUUCACGAUGAGAAGAGAAUCGACGAAGGGUUGCUCCCACCACCGCCAUCACCGGCAACGACGCUUCCACCUCCACCGGUGACCACGCUUUGCACCUCCACCACCGGUACCCAACCCCAAGUCUUCUGUUCUCAUAUCCCCUCUCCCUAUCUCGGGCUGAUUCUCCUGGUCACUGUAGACGAGGGCAGCGCUACCCACCGCCGGCGACCACCACCACAAUCUGCUUCUGGGCAGUCUGACGUUACCCCACCACGAAGGAGAAGUUGCCACCCACAGAUUCAAGGCUCAGACCCGAUCAAAGGUGCUUGGCAUGGCAAAUUCAGAGAAGUUGUGCCUCAAGCAACGGCAGCGGCAGCGGUAGAUGUUCGUUGGUGGAGUUCGAGCGGAGUAAAAAUAUGGCAUGGCCAAUGGAGAGAGCCAUUUGUUAAAUCUAGAGGAUGGGAAAAGAAAUCAUCUGAUUAUGCAACUUUAAAGGAUAGCUUAGCUGCUGCGAAAGUUAGCUAUGGGACCAAUAGCUUUGCAAAGACUAGUGGAAACUCGAAAAGGCAGUAAAGAGAUUGAAGCUAUUCAAGUGAAUCAAAGGCCAAGGAAAACGAUUAAUUUGUUGUAGUUUGGAAUAUCAAUAUGUACUAAGUUUUGUACGCAAAUGAUGAAGUUAUACGCAAGUGUGCUGGAAACUCAAUGGCAAGGAUGCAGAGGACAACAAAGUUAUACGCAAAUGAUGACUGCACUGGA
Molecule: long non-coding RNA, 780 nt
Organism: Rhododendron vialii
Lineage: Eukaryota; Viridiplantae; Streptophyta; Magnoliopsida; Ericales; Ericaceae
Exons: 3
Source: RefSeq, a predicted model, not a curated record